GAAAAAGAUGGUAGUUACAAUUUGUAAAAUCCUUGUUUUGUUGAGGAUGGUACAGGUUUUCUCUGUAAUUCAGGGCUUCAUUUUCUGUCAAGGCGCGGCUGACUUCGCAUCGGUAAAUUAGGAUUUUAAGAAGGGAGAUUUACAAUUUCGUCCCUAUACUUUGCCAUUAUUUAUAAGUCGGUCCUUGCAUUUUCAAAAACUCAUUAAAACGUCUCUAUACAUUGCCUUUAUUAACUAAAUGGUCUUUCUGUCUAUUUUCCAUCUUCCUCUCUGUCUAAAAGGAGAGAAUUUUUAAAAUCCCAUUUUGUCAUCAAUAACGCGACAUGACAAUUAUGCCCUUAUAGACAAAUGAAUUAAAAAAAAUCCUUUUCCCCAAUUUUCAAUUCCCUAACCCUUUCCCAUUGAAAUGAAAAGGCAGAGGCUAUAAGAUUGGUAAAAAAUUAAAUAUAAUGACUUAAUAAUUAUGAAAAUGAAAAUAUAGGGACGAAAGAGUUAUUUUCUAGAAAUAGGUAUAAAAAAAAUUCUCACAGAAACUAUGAUGCUUGCCAGAAAACCAAUUGAAAUGCCCGGCCACACACUACACCCUGUCAAUACUAAAUUCAAAAUCACUUCCUUUUGUGCAAAAUUAUCCUUGAGUGCACUACGACAGUUGGGUGAUGAAAAAUUUUUGGAUAAAGAAUGAAGUUUUUUAUUGUAAAAAAGACAAAUUCUCCUCGUGGGACAAAGAACUUGUGAGUUAGAACAGACAGUGAAGAAGGGUUAGGGAUUCGAAAAUUGG
Molecule: unclassified non-coding RNA, 778 nt
Filed under: Hevea brasiliensis (rubber tree)
Lineage: Eukaryota; Viridiplantae; Streptophyta; Magnoliopsida; Malpighiales; Euphorbiaceae
Source: RNAcentral